CCCUUAGAUGUUCUGGGCCACACGCGCGUUACACUGAUGAAGCCAGCGAGUAUAUCGCUUUCACCGGAAGGUGCGGGUAAUCUUGUGAAACUUCAUCGUGCUGGGGAUAGACCAUUGCAAUUAUUGGUCUUGAACGAGGAAUUCCUAGUAAGCAUGAGUCAUCAACUCGUGCUGAUUACGUCCCUGCCCUUUGUACACACCGCCCGUCGCUACUACCGAUUGAAUGGUUUGGUGAGAUCUCGGGAUUGGAGACGUUGCGCCGCAAGGCACAUCGUCCUCGAGAACUUGAUCAAACUUGAUCAUUUAGAGGAAGUAAAAGUCGUAACA
Molecule: ribosomal RNA, 327 nt
Filed under: uncultured eukaryote
Lineage: Eukaryota
Description: partial 18S ribosomal RNA
Rfam family: Eukaryotic small subunit ribosomal RNA
Source: RNAcentral